Molecule: long non-coding RNA, 314 nt
Filed under: Mytilus galloprovincialis (Mediterranean mussel)
Lineage: Eukaryota; Metazoa; Mollusca; Bivalvia; Mytilida; Mytilidae
Source: RNAcentral
GUAUGGCAAGAUAUAACCAUAAAGGAAUUUAGUUUUUGUCAGUCGCAAGAACUCAUCACAAUCAUAAACGUAUACGUAUAUAUGCAUGCAGUUUCAAAUAUCAAGAACAAGCGGUCGAUGUCGAUAGUCCGUUUUCUAACUGUUCAGAGUUAGACAUGUCACUAGUUCAUUCUUGGAAGCCUUCAUAUUCCCUGUCCAACGAUGGGAACUCUUUCUGUUUGUAUUGACUAUAAAUGCUUGUAUGGUAAUUCUGUCGUUUAUCUGUACAAGUGGUUGCAUUUCCUCUCCUUUCCCAACAAACAAACGAACGAAAC